ACAUGCGGGCAACAAUUUAGUAACAUAAGUGCCCCACACACUUAUACAUGUAUAUGGAACUAACUUCUGCACAAACAAAUGUCCUAGAGCCAAAAUGGGAUUGACAAUUAACCAUUCACAAAUCGAACAUGUGUGGAGUAGCAAGAAAAACUAUUCCUUUUCCCUAAAAAUAAUUUUGAAAAGAUGUAGAUAGAUCUACAAAAAUAAGUGGCAAACUGCAAAAACAAAGAGGCCAUGUAGCCCAACUCAGUUGCUCCCCUCAGGCCUAAGCGGUAACCGCUCUCAAAGGCCCCUUUUCUCUAAAAAGAGUAAAUUUCACAAAACCACACAUUUUGGGGUAGUCUUCUCACGCAGCCUCCAGUUUUGGUAAUUUGUCCGAAAAACCACACUUUUCCAGUCCCAACAUAAUAACAAGCCCGAAAUGAUGUGUUUAGGCAGGUCGGGCCCACCUGUCAGGUGACACAUCGGACCAACCCGACCCGACCCGAUAGGCCGUUUGGCCGGCAAUACUCUACCUCUUCUCUUUCCCUGCUCAGGUCGGGUCGGGUUGGUCUGACGUGUCACCCUGGAGGCUGCGUGAGAAGACUGCCCCGAAAUGUGUGGUUUUGUGAAAUUUACUACCCUAAAAAGAAAGAGGCUCUCAGACGGGACGGACCGAACCUGCUACAUUUGAUCAGGCCUGGCAUGGCGGUAACCCAGGGCCGUCUCCAGGAUUUGGGGGCCCCGGAGCGAAAUGAAAAAAUUGUUCUAAAAUUGGGACUACUUCGUGUUACUAAAACAUCUAAAAAGAUAGCAAAAAUGUAAUGGUAGUAUACUAGUAUUGGAGCAAUAAACUGACCUCAUGUUCUACCGAAAAGCAUCAUCCGCCUAGUGUUUUUUUAAAUAAAAUCUGCAAUAGAUGAGAGGGUUCUACUGAAAAGCAUCAUCCGUAUAGCAAACAAAAAUAGUUUAAAACAAUUCAAACAUCAUAUGAAUUAUAGGUUUAUCAAUACAAUAGAUGAGAGGGUUUGACCGAACUUGGAAUUAGGAAUUUAGGACCAAAACAAUGCAGAGCAGGGCUUGCCGGCCUGGCCGCCGGAGGCCGGAGUAUGUAGAUAAAAAAUCAAAGGCAACAGCAUGGGGCAGCAGCAGGAGACGGGCGGGCAGGCGAGUCGAUCGCGCGCAGGAGGAGGCGGCGAUCGCGUGCAGACGGAGGAAAGGUGGAGCCGAGGAAUCGAGUAUCCCAGGACUCGCAUGACACUUCGCUUUUCCCGUGCGUAAUUAGAUCAGCAGCGACUUAUUUUUGUUUAAUAGGAUAACUGAUCCCAGAUUUGGUGGCCCCACGAUUUUGGAGGCCCUGAGCGGUCGUGCACCUUGCGCAUCCUCAUCGACGGGCCUGCGGUAACCAACUUUUGUGCGUGAGCAUUUUGUACUGAUCGAAGUUUUGUGGGUUUUGUACUGCAGGAAGUGACUAGUACUACGGAGUACUCACUCCGUUUUUAAAUUGUGGUCGUGGUUUUAGUACUUUACUACAUAAGCCAGUGCAUCUUUGCUUGAUUACUUCAUUGACUGACCCUAGUAUAUUAUGUACGUAUUCAAUCUUGUUAAUUGCUUCAACAGAGUAGUGACCUUGCAUUUUGCGUGCUUUCCACUACAAGUGUACUAGUAUAACAGAGUGAGUCAGACUACAUUAAAACAUGUGCACAAAAAAUUUAUGUGUUACUUAAAAUCGUAUCAACUUUGGUUAAUAUGGUUGUUACUGAAACCGAACGGAAAUUGAAUGGUUAUAACUGAGACAGAACCACAUUUUCAUAUGAAACCAGGAGAAUGCCUCGUCUGCAGUGCAGUUUUUCUUUUUCUUUGAGAGGAUCCGUCCAGUGCAUUUUUUUUUAGCGAAUCCGUCCAUCCGUAGUUCCGUAUAGAGGAGAUGGUUGUGCUCACUCGCGACGGAGGCAGGAGAAUGCCUCGUGUCCAUCUCGCCCCACGGUGCGGCAAGAGGACCGCCCUGCAACUGCCGGCUAAGUCUCCUCUCACUCGCCGCGAGGUAGAAGACUGGCGGCAGCGGCGACGAGAUUUGAUUCGAUCCGAUGCUAUUGAAAAUAUCUGAAGAUAAACAGACUACCUCCUCUGCAACCUAUAUGUCUCAGCUCAGACUUGAGGAGCAAUGGCUGAGGCUGUGGUUCUCUUAGCAGUGACAAAGAUUGGUGUUGCUCUAGGGAAUGAAGCAGUGAACCAGGCUAGUUCACAGUUCAGUAACUUCAUUACACAGCUAACAGAGCUUCAAGGUAGCAUGGGCCGCAUCAGAAGGGAGCUCAGACUGAUGCAUGGAUAUCUCUGCCGAAUGGACGUACCGAAUCGCAACAGUCAGACAUAUGGAAUCUGGGUGGAGGAGGUUAGAAUGCUCGCGUAUGGGAUUGAAGAUAUUGUGGAUGAGUAUCUGCAUCUUGUCGGUCAGAAACAUGACACUGAAUGGAGUACCUAUCUGAAGAAAGGAUUCAAACGGCCAAAUGUCUUCUUCUCUUUAAACAGGAUAGCUUCAUUGGUUAAGGAAGCAGUUAACUGAGCUCCUGUGUGCAUGCAUACUCUGAUCUUAUUUAGUUUAGCAAACCAUCCAAGUGGUUACUCAUAGCCAUUAACAAGAAUCUUUAGUUGACAUGUUUUAAACUACAAGAACAUAUAAAGGCAUAAUUUACAUUUACAUUUUCUCUGUAGCUUAACUUCUGAAAUGUUCACUUGCAGUCUCUCCCUCUCGAGGCAAAACAUAAUUUGACACUAAAGUUGAGAUCAAGCAUCUCCAUUGUUGGACUAAGUUGAGAUCCGGCAACAUCUCUCCUGCUAAAUAAGGAGAAAAAGGUAAGUCAUCUACCUUUGUAGCUUCUAAUCUUUGUUCAAUUAACAGUAAUCAAAAGGCACUAGCCAUAUUAAGUUGCACACCAUAUUCAUAUAUGGAGAGAGUUGUCCUAGCAAAAUUGCAUUUCUAAGUUUAGUUGGAGUAUUUCUUCCAAUUGCUAAAAGCUUGGCUAAGGAAAUUGCAUUUAUACACUAGAGAAACUUUACUCAUGUUGAUUUUACUCAUUGAUGACCCAUCAUACAAGAAUGCAGAGUCAUUUUUGUGGAUACAGGGACCGCUAUAGGUAUUACAUUUGAAAUGAGAUUCCUAGUGCCUCUUUUUUAAAUUCAUUUUAUGAUUGCUGCACGUAUCCAACUCCAUUAUAUAUAGGGUAACUUCUUGCUUGCACCCGUCAUUGAUAAUUCUGUAUUAUGCAGAGUAACUAGGGUCAGACAUUGUUAAAGAAAGGAAAGUUACUGCUUACUUCAUAUAUCCUUCUUUUUUUGGCCCCUAAAAUGUAUUUCUAUAUUAUUUUGUAGCUGCCCAGAAUCAGGAACUAUAGUCUCAUCUAUAUGAUGUAUUGCAAUUGCUGAUUCCCAUCUAUUCUUGCUCAUAUGGCCCUGUCGAGGGUUCUAACUGUGUAAUUUGAUGCAUUGGCUAGGUUCUCCUGCAAGGAAUGUCUCUGAAUGCAUUGUUAGGCCAAGUUUUUCCCCUUCUCCUUGUUAUUUCUCCUCCUGUUUGUUCCUCCUCUUCUCUUCCAGGUUGUUUGCUUUCUCUUCUUUCCUAGAUCUGCACAGUGGCUCCUUAAGUUGCAAGACACCAAACUGGAAAGUUUAAUUGAAGGAGAGAGAGAAAGAGAGAGAGAGAGAGAAUAACCCUUUUUUUGGAUUUUUGGCGGACUUGAACAGAACCCUCAGAUGUGGUCUGAUGUUCAUCGACAACAGCCACCUGCUGCUCCCCGGCUGCAUCCAUGGCUGGCUGCUGCUUACCCUCUUGGAGCAACGGCACCCCAAGGACUGGAUUGGACAUGGGAGGAUGUGGCUCUAUAGGAUUUUUUUAUGUUCUCUAAUGUGUCCUAUUCUCAUCAGAUAUGUAGAGACCUUUAGCUUAGAAAAUGUGGAACAUUAUAAUCAUGUAUAAUUUCUGGUCCAGGUUAUUGUUUCGGUGACUUCUCUGGUCAUAAGAAGCCUGGGCCAGAGGAUAGAGAGGUUGAUGCACUGAUUGUUAGAUGGCCAAGUAAAUUUGCUCACAGCUUGAUGAGAAUUCAAGUUUUGCUGGGUCUGUGUGUGUUUUCAGCGUUUUGCAUGGCAGGCAACCCUGGUUCUGCAGCCUGGUGCUCCACACUUUCAUUUUGAGCCCGGAGCUGGAAGGGAUCAAUAUGAAGUAUUUCCUAGAUUAAUUUGUAAUUUAGUGCAUGUUUCUUGAUUAAUUUGUAAUUAAGUUCUUUCUGUUGUUUCAGAUGGUCUAUAUGUUAUAAAUUAAACAUGCCAUGCCUUGUUGACCUAUUGUUUUCCGGCGCAACAAAGUGCGCUUACACAUCUCGUAUGUCGUAUAUACUGCUGUCCUUUGGAGUGCUUGGAAGCUGAGAAAUGAUUUAUGUUUUCAGGGACAGACAUGACUGGGCUUGAAGGGCAUAUGGUCUAAGGGGUAAGGUGAUGAUAAUUUUGAUGCGAUGCUACAAGGUACUAUACACAAGCUCCCAAUCACGCCUAUUGUAUCCCCUGCAUCGUGCUACCGGAAAGAAAGAGAAGCGGACUGCUUUGUAUCACCUGGAGGCCACGACAUACGCUGCGCUGAGCCGCUGACGGUCUCAUGCCGAGCCAGCACCAUUACUGAUGGUAGCGUUUGACGCCGUCAUUACCGAGGUAAAGAAUGGAAUUGUGUUGCCUUUUGCCAUAUGGUGCCUGCCCUGUGGGGGGGACGUGAGGAACAAUUUAAGUUCCCAGCAAUAACAACCUGGCAAGCCCAGAUCCAAGUAAAGCGGUGGUUUUCUUCCUCCUAGCGGACGCAAGAUAGGUAAAAGAUGAUGACUGGAAGUCAUGGUGGUGGGUGUUGUGAGGCAUUGAGAUGCUCUGUUUCCAAAGAAAAGCUAGAGGGGACGAGGUAUAUGGGAGGAAAUUGCAUGGCGGGUCCUUAAAUUUGGCAAGUAUGUUCAAUUUCAUCCAUUAACUUGAAAACUUCAAAAAUGAGACCUUAAACUUGGCAGGUUUAAUAUUUGCGAGUUAAUGGAUGAAACUGAACAUACGUGCCAAGUUUAAGGAUCCACCGUGCAAUUUCCUAUUUCUACCAACUACAAGCCUUGUGUCUCCCCUGGAUCUGCAUUCUCUUCUGCAUACAGCCACAAGUAUCCUCUUAGCCAAACAUAGCAAAUAAAUUAAGGGUCUCUUUGAUUCAUAGGAUAGGAAAAACUUUACAGAGCCAUUUGAAUUCUAUAGGAUUGUGAUUACAUCAAAAUUUGUUUUGUUUUGUUU
This is a long non-coding RNA of Brachypodium distachyon (stiff brome), 5280 nucleotides long. RefSeq lists it as uncharacterized. The record is from RefSeq and is a predicted model, not a curated record. NCBI's taxonomy places the organism in Eukaryota, Viridiplantae, Streptophyta, Magnoliopsida, Poales, Poaceae. The transcript is spliced from 3 exons.